RNAcentral lists this ribosomal RNA (848 nucleotides) under uncultured Bacteroidaceae bacterium. RNAcentral describes it as "bacterial SSU rRNA". It matches the Rfam family "Bacterial small subunit ribosomal RNA", at positions 76 to 923 of the family's 1533-position model. Lineage: Bacteria; Pseudomonadati; Bacteroidota; Bacteroidia; Bacteroidales; Bacteroidaceae. The record is from RNAcentral.
AAGCUUGCUUCAUUGAUGGCGACCGGCGCACGGGUGAGUAACACGUAUCCCACCUUCCGCUGACUCGGGGAUAGCCUUUCGAAAGAAAGAUUAAUACCCGAUAGUAAAGGACUUCCGCAUGGAUAUCCUUUUAAAGGAUUCCGGUCAGCGAUGGGGAUGCGUUCCAUUAGAUAGUUGGCGGGGUAACGGCCCACCAAGUCUACGAUGGAUAGGGGUUCUGAGAGGAAGGUCCCCCACAUUGGAACUGAGACACGGUCCAAACUCCUACGGGAGGCAGCAGUGAGGAAUAUUGGUCAAUGGGCGAGAGCCUGAACCAGCCAAGUAGCGUGAAGGAAGACUGCCCUAUGGGUUGUAAACUUCUUUUAUACGGGAAUAAAGUCAUCCACGUGUGGAUGUUUGUAUGUACCGUAUGAAUAAGGAUCGGCUAACUCCGUGCCAGCAGCCGCGGUAAUACGGAGGAUCCGAGCGUUAUCCGGAUUUAUUGGGUUUAAAGGGAGCGUAGGCGGGCUUUUAAGUCAGUUGUGAAAGUUUGCGGCUCAACCGUAAAAUUGCAGUUGAUACUGGAAGCCUUGAGUACAGUAGAGGCAGGCGGAAUUCGUGGUGUAGCGGUGAAAUGCUUAGAUAUCACGAAGAACUCCGAUUGCGAAGGCAGCUUGCUGGACUGUAACUGACGCUGAUGCUCGAAAGUGUGGGUAUCAAACAGGAUUAGAUACCCUGGUAGUCCACACAGUAAACGAUGGACACUCGCUGUUGGCGAUAUACAGUCAGCGGCUUAGCGAAAGCGUUAAGUGUCCCACCUGGGGAGUACGCCGGCAACGGUGAAACUCAAAGGAAUUGACGGGGGCCCG